CUCGGCAACACACUUCUUUCUUACUUUUAAAAAUUGAGUGAAGUGCAAAAAUCUUAAUUUGCUUCAUGAAUUUCAUAGUAGAAUUUUUUUCCAGCUUUAUGAGAUGUAAUUGACAAAUGAAAUUAUAAUAUAUUUAAAGUGUAUGACGUGGUGACUUGAGGGUAGUAAAAUGUGGAGCAGAAAAGAUGUCCCCAAAGCCUCAUGCAAAAGCCACCUCGUGUCAUAAAGCUCAGACAUAGAGAAAAUGAAACUAGAUAAGGUUUCAGGAUACAAAUAGAUGUGAGAAAACUUAAAAAAAAAUAAAUAAAUGAGCGAGGGAGUAAGAAGCUGAAUUCUGGGCCUGACUGGCGGUGUCAUGGUUAAGUUCGCACGCCCUGCCUCGGCAGCCCAGGGCUCACCAGUUCGGAUCCUAGACGUGGACCCACACACCGCCUGCCAAGCUGAGGCUGCGCGCCGCACAGAAGAACUAGAAGGACUUACAACUAGCGCUGAGCCCCGUGCAGUCAGUGUGCAGCAUCCUCACCGUCGUCUGCCCCCUCCAGUGGCCCUUGCCUUCAACAGUGCCUGGGACACAGCUGGCGCUCAAUGACGGCUGCAUGAGCGAAGUCUCUUUGCUCCAUGGCUGGACUAGGUGGUGCUGCUCGCAGGGUCCUGGGCGGGGCCUACCUCAGCGCCUUGCCGCCGUGCCACCGCCAAUGUGACCCCGCCAAUGUGAUCCCGCCGAUGUGACCCCGCCAAUGUGCCGCCCUGCUGUGUGACCCACUCGCUGCCACCGUGCCCCUACCGCCACGCAGUGCUUUCCUCUGUGCCGUCCACUUGGGAAAUGGCCCUGGUUUCCUUUGGUGGCAGUGGUACAAAGGGUCCUUUCAAAACAAAUUUGCUUAUGAAUUUUUUUUUUUUUUGAGGAAGA
Equus quagga is the source of this 910-nucleotide long non-coding RNA. RefSeq lists it as uncharacterized. The transcript is spliced from 3 exons. The record is from RefSeq and is a predicted model, not a curated record. NCBI's taxonomy places the organism in Eukaryota, Metazoa, Chordata, Mammalia, Perissodactyla, Equidae.